RNAcentral lists this ribosomal RNA (471 nucleotides) under uncultured bacterium. RNAcentral describes it as "bacterial SSU rRNA". It matches the Rfam family "Bacterial small subunit ribosomal RNA", at positions 355 to 825 of the family's 1533-position model. The record is from RNAcentral.
UGGGGAAUAUUGGACAAUGGGGGCAACCCUGAUCCAGCAAUGCCGCGUGUGUGAAGAAGGCCUUCGGGUUGUAAAGCACUUUCGGUGGGGACAAACAAGGCGGAGCUAACAUCUCCGUCCCUGAUGGUACCCAAAGAAGAAGCACCGGCUAACUCUGUGCCAGCAGCCGCGGUAAUACAGAGGGUGCAAGCGUUAAUCGGAAUUACUGGGCGUAAAGCGUGCGUAGGUGGUUUGUUAAGUCAGGUGUGAAAUCCCGGGGCUCAACCUCGAAAUUGCGCUUGAUACUGGCAGACUCGAGUGUGGUAGAGGAUAGUGGAAUUCCCGGUGUAGCGGUGAAAUGCGUAGAUAUCGGGAGGAACAUCAGUGGCGAAGGCGGCUAUCUGGACUAACACUGACACUGAGGUACGAAAGCGUGGGUAGCAAACAGGAUUAGAUACCCUCGUAGUCCCUGAGCGGGCUGGCAAGGCGCAU